Molecule: ribosomal RNA, 496 nt
Filed under: uncultured bacterium
Lineage: Bacteria
Description: partial 16S ribosomal RNA
Rfam family: Bacterial small subunit ribosomal RNA
Source: RNAcentral
GACGAACGCUGGCGGCGUGCUUAACACAUGCAAGUCGAACGAGAAUCUGUGGAAAGAGGAUUCGUCCAAUUGAAGCAGAGGACGGUGGCGGACGGGUGAGUAACGCGUGAGGAACCUGCCUUUCAGAGGGGGACAACAGUUGGAAACGACUGCUAAUACCGCAUGCCACAUAGGCGUCGCAUGGCACUUAUGUCAAAGAUUUAUCGCUGAAAGAUGGCCUCGCGUCUGAUUAGCUAGUUGGUGAGGUAACGGCCCACCAAGGCGACGAUCAGUAGCCGGACUGAGAGGUUGAACGGCCACAUUGGGACUGAGAUACGGCCCAGACUCCUACGGGAGGCAGCAGUGGGGAAUAUUGGGCAAUGGGCGCAAGCCUGACCCAGCAACGCCGCGUGAAGGAAGAAGGCUUUCGGGUUGUAAACUUCUUUUGUCAGGGACGAGUAGAAGACGGUACCUGACGAAUAAGCCACGGCUAACUACGUGCCAGCCGCCGCAGUAA